GAGUUUGAUCCUGGCUCAGAUUGAACGCUGGCGGUAUGCUUAACACAUGCAAGUCGAACGGUAACAGGUCGCUGUGAUCUCUUCGGAGUGAACUUGACGCUGACGAGUGGCGGACGGGUGAGUAAUACUUAGGAAUCUACCCAGUAGUGGGGGACAACACGACGAAAGUCGUGCUAAUACCGCAUACGCCCUAAGGGGGAAAGUGGAGGAUCUUCGGACUUCACGCUAUUGGAUGAGCCUAAGCCGGAUUAGCUUGUUGGUAGGGUAAUGGCCUACCAAGGCAACGAUCCGUAGCUGGUCUGAGAGGACGAUCAGCCACACUGGGACUGAGACACGGCCCAGACUCCUACGGGAGGCAGCAGUGGGGAAUAUUGGACAAUGGGCGCAAGCCUGAUCCAGCAAUACCGCGUGUGUGAAGAAGGCCUGCGGGUUGUAAAGCACUUUCAGUAGGGAAGAAAAGCUUAGGGUUAAUACUCCUGGGUCUUGACGUAACCUACAGAAGAAGCACCGGCUAACUCCGUGCCAGCAGCCGCGGUAAUACGGGGGGUGCAAGCGUUAAUCGGAAUUACUGGGCGUAAAGCGCGCGUAGGCGGUCUGGUCAGUCGGAUGUGAAAGCCCUGGGCUCAACCUGGGAAUUGCAUUCGAUACUGCCCGACUAGAAUGUGGAAGANGGAAGUGGAAUUUCCGGUGUAGCGGUGAAAUGCGUAGAUAUCGGAAGGAACACCAGUGGCGAAGGCGGCUUCCUGGUCCAACAUUGACGCUGAAGUGCGAAGCGU
Molecule: ribosomal RNA, 776 nt
Filed under: uncultured bacterium
Lineage: Bacteria
Description: bacterial SSU rRNA
Rfam family: Bacterial small subunit ribosomal RNA
Source: RNAcentral